Molecule: long non-coding RNA, 255 nt
Organism: Xenia sp. Carnegie-2017
Lineage: Eukaryota; Metazoa; Cnidaria; Anthozoa; Malacalcyonacea; Xeniidae
Exons: 2
Source: RefSeq, a predicted model, not a curated record
AUUCGUGCUAAUAUUGCGUUUUACAAACAAAAUCCUGGUCGUGAAGUGAUAAAUAAUGAAAGAACAAACAUCACCAUAAGUAGAAAUCCUCAAUAUCGUAAUGUUACAAUGAAAAUACGAAAUAUCAACAUCAAUGAUUCUGGAACUUACAGAUGUAGUGAAAAAAAUGCUCUCAGUAAUGAAUAUGCUGCUGUAACGUUGAAUGUACGAGGAAUAUAUCCUCCUGUAAUUUAUCAGAUGAAGAGAUUCUACAGU